CUCCAUCCUUCCCUCCCCGCUGUCCUUAUACCCAGGCCUCUUAUAGUUACCCUGAUGUUGGGGAGGGCCUGCCGCUGCCUCACCAAGCCCUCCGGUGAACCCGCUGAUGCAGAGGCCACCUGCCUGAGUCUUGAUCGCAGACUUGAGCUCCUGAUUCUCCCGAAUGAGCCGUACCAGCUUCUUCAGUUCCUCAUUUUCCCGCACCAGCCUCUCUAUCUGAUGCCGAAGCCCCUCGUAACUUUGACUCUUCCUUUGCACCUGAUCUCUGCUCCUUGGGUCCUGGAAUCUUCUGGAGUUUCAUUCUCUCAAGAAUCUAAAAUGAAGACGUGACGGUGAUCCAGCAGCGCUCGCUGUUUCUCUACGACUGGCCAGGGUUACGUUGACUUGGCUUAUCUGGCUGGCCAAGCAAGUAUCCCAUUCCUCCCUCACUGUUCCCUGUAUGUCCCUCCUGAAGCUGUCCACUUGGUAGAAGACAACUCUCUCCCGGGGGAGCAGUGUUCAAGUGAAGAUACACAAGUAGCUGUGUUCCUCUGCUAGGACUUCCAAACAAGACCCGGAGCCAGUCCUCCUCGACGGAUUUCAAGAGCCGGAGGACUGAGUCCUCCUGACACGCCCUUCUCUUAGAGCUUUCUAGAAAGAAUGCCAUGGGAUCUUGGGAGUCAAUGGAGGCUGGUCUUGGAGACCUCCACUGGCUCUGUGGUCAUCUUCUCUCAACACUUUCCAUAGGUCAGGGAGAGGAAGGUAAAGUCCAGUUCCAGACCAGAUUCUUGUGGGCAGAUUCUGGUAGAGUGGAGCUGAGGAAGAGGAGGGUCAGUCUAAGUUGGGUGUUCUAUCUGGACCUCACAAUGGGGGGACCUGCCCCCCUAUCUUUGACACUCUGUGCUGUAAUCUUAAGUCAUUUUGGCCUCAAAGACAAGAGUACCUGAAGACCACACAAGAGUUCUUUUCAUUAUUCCUUCUAACUUUAU
Molecule: long non-coding RNA, 968 nt
Filed under: Mus musculus (house mouse)
Lineage: Eukaryota; Metazoa; Chordata; Mammalia; Rodentia; Muridae
Description: myocardial infraction associated transcript 2
Rfam family: 7SK RNA (bases 323-640)
Source: RNAcentral